This 1439-nucleotide long non-coding RNA is filed under the name Bos indicus x Bos taurus (hybrid cattle). RNAcentral's name for it is "lncRNA (ENSBIXG00000015719.1)". Lineage: Eukaryota; Metazoa; Chordata; Mammalia; Artiodactyla; Bovidae. The record is from RNAcentral.
CCUGACUUAGGGCUGAGCAGCUCAUCUGAAUCUCCUGGGCUUUCCCUUAUAAGAGCCUUGGGGCCCAGUACUCUGGAAGGGGUCUGGGAAAGGAUGCCCCCCUUUCUUCAGACCUUCAACUCAAACGCACCAUGGAGAUGGAUGUCUCAAGUGCACAGGGCACUUCGCCAACAGCAGCAUAAUUAAUACUCGGACUCCAAAUGCCCGCUCCUCUGAGGUCCCCACCCAUCAUCAGCCAGGUCUCCCAGCACUGCCUCAGGACCAGACAGGGGCAACCCUCCUGCCCUGGCAUCAUUCAGCACCUUCCAGAAAGGAAAAGGACCCUAACCAGAUGGGAACUCUGGGUGAAAGGGGAGGACACGCUCCCCCACCCCCGCCAGCAUGGAGAUACUGCCGUGAGGUCGUAGCUUAGAGCCAGAACCAGAGGCAAAAUCCCGAUGGGAGCCCUUCCCACACUCCCUAAACCAGCCACCACGUGGAGCUUCACAAACAGUAAUUAAACUUCCCAACUCCUGCUCUGUACAGUCCCACAGUCACAGCUGAGCACCUGGUUCUGCCAACCUUGGCUGACUGUCCCCUCCCCCAUCUCUCCUCCCAUCAGGGUCAUUCUGUUGCGUGUGGCUUGAGCUGUCCUCUGCUCUUUGACUUGGACCUCUGAAGAUGCUCCCUCCUUGGAGAGAAAACCUUUCUUGUGUUUUGACAUCAUCUAAUUCUCCCUACAACGGCCAGAGGUAGAUCAUUGCUGUCCCCAUUUUACAGCCUGGAAAACUAAGGCUGAGAAGGCUGAGCAACUUGCUCAAGGUCACUGAGAGCCAGCCAUGGGGCGGGGCCUGUACCCCACUGCCUCCAGAACCCUGUAAUUGUCAUCUUUCACUGGUGUUAUGUGGGAGGAAAAAGCCCCUGAAGGGACUGGUCAAGAGUUUGACGUCUAAGCUAUUUACAGGUUAAAAAAGAACAAGGACAGUUUGCGUUGAUGUAGCCCUGGAAAAUGAUAUCUCCCUUCGCGGUUGAGAACCCACGGCGGCAAAGCACCCGAUGGCUUGAUCCAGCUCUGGGACUUGGGGGCUUUGGGCUCUCAUUGGCUUGCUGGGUCCACGGGUGACGGCUGAGACACACAUGCGGCUCUGCCUAUCACUCAUCCAGGGUGUCCUCGGUCGAGCCUGCCUGGUGGUUGCUGACGUCACAGGGAGGUGGGUCGGUGGGUGGAGCCGCAGGACGGAGGGACGAGGUUAUGAUUAUGUUGGCGGGAAUCCAAACCAAGGGUGGCCUUGGCCGUGCACCCUGGGAGGGGACCGGACGUCCCUAAUGGAGCUAUCAUGAAACUGGCACUCGAAAUUUGAUCCUUCCCAGAAACUCCUUCUACAAAGCUGUCCUAAUAAUAAUAAUAGACAUUUUCUGGCCACAGAAUAAAUACCUUAGUGGAUAAAGUGUGUAAAACA